Molecule: non-coding RNA, 45 nt
Filed under: Trichobilharzia regenti
Lineage: Eukaryota; Metazoa; Platyhelminthes; Trematoda; Strigeidida; Schistosomatidae
Source: RNAcentral
AUCCAGAUGACGAUUCCCAAAUAGGACGAAAUGCGCAUCCUGGAU